Molecule: ribosomal RNA, 638 nt
Filed under: uncultured bacterium
Lineage: Bacteria
Description: bacterial SSU rRNA
Rfam family: Bacterial small subunit ribosomal RNA
Source: RNAcentral
CACGGGUGAGUAACACGUAUCCAACCUGCCUCAUACUCGGGGAUAGCCUUUCGAAAGAAAGAUUAAUAUCCGAUAGCAUAUAUUUCCCGCAUGGGUUUUAUAUUAAAGAAAUUCGGUAUGAGAUGGGGAUGCGUUCCAUUAGUUUGUUGGGGGGGUAACGGCCCACCAAGACUACGAUGGAUAGGGGUUCUGAGAGGAAGGUCCCCCACAUUGGAACUGAGACACGGUCCAAACUCCUACGGGAGGCAGCAGUGAGGAAUAUUGGUCAAUGGACGCGAGUCUGAACCAGCCAAGUAGCGUGAAGGAUGACUGCCCUAUGGGUUGUAAACUUCUUUUAUAUGGGAAUAAAGUGGUCCACGUGUGGACUUUUGUAUGUACCAUAUGAAUAAGGAUCGGCUAACUCCGUGCCAGCAGCCGCGGUAAUACGGAGGAUCCGAGCGUUAUCCGGAUUUAUUGGGUUUAAAGGGAGCGUAGGCGGAUUGUUAAGUCAGUUGUGAAAGUUUGCGGCUCAACCGUAAAAUUGCAGUUGAUACUGGCAGUCUUGAGUGCAGUAGAGGUGGGCGGAAUUCGUGGUGUAGCGGUGAAAUGCUUAGAUAUCACGAAGAACUCCGAUUGCGAAGGCAGCUCACUGGAGUGUA